GGUGAGUAACACGUGGGUAACCUGCCUGUAAGACUGGGAUAACUCCGGGAAACCGGGGCUAAUACCGGAUGGUUGUUUGAACCGCAUGGUUCAAACAUAAAAGGUGGCUUCGGCUACCACUUACAGAUGGACCCGCGGCGCAUUAGCUAGUUGGUGAGGUAAUGGCUCACCAAGGCAACGAUGCGUAGCCGACCUGAGAGGGUGAUCGGCCACACUGGGACUGAGACACGGCCCAGACUCCUACGGGAGGCAGCAGUAGGGAAUCUUCCGCAAUGGACGAAAGUCUGACGGAGCAACGCCGCGUGAGUGAUGAAGGUUUUCGGAUCGUAAAGCUCUGUUGUUAGGGAAGAACAAGUACCGUUCGAAUAGGGCGGUACCUUGACGGUACCUAACCAGAAAGCCACGGCUAACUACGUGCCAGCAGCCGCGGUAAUACGUAGGUGGCAAGCGUUGUCCGGAAUUAUUGGGCGUAAAGGGCUCGCAGGCGGUUUCUUAAGUCUGAUGUGAAAGCCCCCGGCUCAACCGGGGAGGGUCAUUGGAAACUGGGGAACUUGAGUGCAGAAGAGGAGAGUGGAAUUCCACGUGUAGCGGUGAAAUGCGUAGAGAUGUGGAGGAACACCAGUGGCGAAAGGCGACUCUCUGGUCUGUAACUGACGCUGAGGAGCGAAAGCGUGGGGAGCGAACAGGAUUAGAUACCCUGGUAGUCCACGCCGUAAACGAUGAGUGCUAAGUGUUAGGGGUUUCCGCCCCUUAGUGCUGCAGCUAACGCAUUAAGCACUCCGCCUGGGGAGUACGGUCGCAAGACUGAAACUCAAA
RNAcentral lists this ribosomal RNA (816 nucleotides) under Bacillus sp. (in: firmicutes). RNAcentral's name for it is "bacterial SSU rRNA". It matches the Rfam family "Bacterial small subunit ribosomal RNA", at positions 105 to 905 of the family's 1533-position model. Lineage: Bacteria; Bacillati; Bacillota; Bacilli; Caryophanales; Bacillaceae. The record is from RNAcentral.